Molecule: long non-coding RNA, 5318 nt
Organism: Oreochromis aureus
Lineage: Eukaryota; Metazoa; Chordata; Actinopteri; Cichliformes; Cichlidae
Source: Ensembl
GGUGAACAAUGGUGAUUUGAGUCUGAGACGAUUUAGUUGCCAUUUACACGUAGUUGUAUUGCCCUAUGGCAGCGAUUAAAGUGGUCAUUUAAGAAGACACUAAGCAAGUUGUGCAGCAAACAUAGCAGUCAGCUGGGGCUUGAUUUUUGGAAGGUGUGAAAACGGCACAGGAGACGUUUUACAGGUGGAAGAAACACCUGCUUUUAUAGGUCAAAGACAAAGAAGGCCUGUUAGAGACCCUCUAACAAGCACAAGAAGGUUUUUCUGGUAAAAAAAACUGACCAGAAAAACAUUCAGACUCGGUGGUCAUAAGACCAAGCCUUACGCCAGGUCAGAGACAGAGCGCGAUGCGUGUGGAGAACUUGGCACAACCUGAAUAACACUGGACAAACACAGGCACAGAACCCCUCUGCAUGAUGAGGACGAUGACGAGCCCAUGACAUUUCUGGAAUAUUUACGCCGUAUAGAGCAGGAAGAAUACAAAAAACAAGCAACUACAAUCCAGGCUGUGUGUGAUAGUGGAGAGCUAGACCCCCUUUUUUUUUUUUUUUCCUUUUUUCCAACAACUGGUCACCUCAGGGUGAGUGUGUGCCUGGUGAUUUUAUCAAUGUUUUUGAGCACAGUGUAUCAGACUUUAAUCUCCUACCUACCAUACCCAGGUGCAUGAGUAUUGAUGAUGAUGAUGAUGCACGCAUAGAUUUUUGAAGGUUAUAUAACAGAUUCUCAACUAGCAGAGUUUUACGAUGCCUUCAUCAAUACCACCGGUGCUCCGCUUUCUGACCAGAGUUCUAGCGACCCAACAGCCGAUAACGUGAUAGAAGCUAAACUUAACAACAACAACAAGCAACACAUGAAUACUUACAAGAGAUAGCUGGAGCUCUAACUAAGGUUAACGUGGCAAUAAACAAAAUGUGCUGUCUAUUAGAUAAUAUCUGUACCAGGAUUUUUAAUGUCUGACUUUUAAAGCCCUAGCCAUGGACCCUCUUAAUAAGUUAUUCAAACACAGUAAUGGUACCGCUAAGCCUGUUACAUGGUUUGACUCUGAGGUAUUUAAUCAGAGGACUGAAGAAAUGAUAACGAAAUGUGAUAUUUUGCACAGAAGACUGAAUAGUAUGUGUAUCUGAGAACGCAACCCGUGCCACACCAUCUGAUGCCGCUCCUGCGGCUUCUGCUGCUCCUGCACACAUCACAGUACAUCCCCAUUCCUCUAAUGUGAUCACUAUUCCUCCUCAUGAGCCCUCCAACACUGACAAUGUGUUAGGUGUUAAUCCUUCACAGACAAGAGCUGCCCUCACCAAACCCACACGGGUUUGGUAAACACAGUCAUACCUGCUUCUAAUGCAAAAGAAUUGCGUGAGCGUAUUGAUUUUAGAGACAUAAGCGUGGAUAUUCCAGACCAGGUACCAGCGAGGGUAAGAGAUUGCGUAGCCAAUGUCAUAGAUAGGGCAGUGUCUGGCUCUCAGCCGGGCAAAUGUUGUUUUGAGAGGCCCUUCCCUGGCUUCUGAUGUACAGACUGUUUUAAAUGCUGAAGAUGAGUACGAUGCAGAUCUGUGUUUUGAUGAAAUAGCACAGGUCAUGCAGAGUAAUGAUGGUUCUAUAGGUGAUGACGAAUUAGUUUAUUGUCACAGUAGCGCAGAACAGUAACGGUGGUGCCCGUUUAAGACUGGCACGCACACCAUAUGACAACAUACUGUCAAAGAAAGGUAAAGAUUUGUACAUAGCAAACAAUGCCCCCAACAACUUGUGCUAUGUAAAAGGCAUUACAGGCACCCAAAAUUUCAUGGGUACAUGUUCAUAGCACAUAACGCACCUGGCUUUGAUAACUACAUACUUCUGGAGUACUUUGUCAAGCAGGGCAUAACACCCAGUAUCACAAUGAGAGGGAGCUGUGUGAUUUUGAUGUAUGACAUGGAUUAUGACCAGUGAUGGAUCGAUUCAUUCGGCUUUUUGUCCAUGGGACUUGAUAAAAUACCCGUCGCUUUAGGUUUUGCAGACCUGGAGAAGGGUCACUUCCCACACAAAUUUAAUACAAGAGGUAAUGAGUAUUAUGUGGGACCAUACCCAGACCCCUCCUUCUACGGCUAUGACAGGAUGUCUGAAAGUGGUGAGGUUUAUGGAAUGGUACCAGACAAUCUCCCAGUCUCCCUCUGAUUUUUCCAUGGUGAAUCGAGGCGUUACUGUGUUAACGAUGUUGAUGACAUGCUUGCUCUUAUGUAUGAUGGUGCAUAUGUUGACCAGAAUAAGAUGUUUUCUAACUUCUCUAUUGAAUGGCUUCAAUAUGUAGCCCACACUACCAACACAGUGGUAAAACACGUGCUCCGAGGAGCCGAACAGAGAGUUGGUCUGUAUUUUGUGGAUGGUUUUGACCUCACAAACAAUACGGCUUAUGAAUUUGCAGGGUGUUUUCACCAUGGGUGUGUUAAAUGCUACCCCGAGAGUGAGGUUAACCCUGUCAGCAAGGCAUCCUACGGACUGCUGCAUCACGCGUUUUGUGAUAAAGUGAAUGCGUUGAGAUCACAACACAGUGUGAGCGUGGUCGUGAUGUGGGAGAGUGAAUGGGAGGCAUUGAAGUAGACAGCCCCCGCAGUUAUGACAUUCAUGCGCACAUACAGAAAGCCAGAACACCUGAACCCUCGAGACGCCCUCUUUGGAGAGUGCGCCAACACCAUGAAACUGUACCACAAGACUACUUGUGAUGGAAAAAAUACGUUACUAUGACUUUACCAGCCUCUAUCCCACAGUGCAGUCUAAAAAAGAUUAUCCUGUCAGGCACCUGCACAUCAUUUACAACAACUUUGACAGGCUGGAAAAUUAUUUCAGCUUUGUUAAAUGCUCAGUACUCCACCUAGAGGUCUGUUUCACCCAGUCCUUUCCUACAGAUGCCACAACAAACUGAUGUUCCCACUCUGUAGCAUGUGUUCUGAAAAGCGGAACCAGCAGACAGCAUGCCUGCACACUGGCACUGAGAGGAUGUUGGCGGGCACCUAGUUGUCAUUUGAGCUUGAAAAAGCACUUGAGAAAGGAUACAGGAUUGUUUCUAUUGAUGAGGUGCAGCAUUUUCUCAAUAAGAGAGAUACAUUGUUUAAAGUUUAAAAAUUAAACAGGAGGCUUCAGGCUAUCCAGAACAUAUUAAAACCCCUGAUGACCAGCAGAAGUACACUGAUGAGUGUUAUGAGGAGGGAAUAAUGCUAGACUCGACCAAGAGAUGUGUAGAUAAAGCUGUUAGAAACUGUAACAAACUUCUGCUAAACUCGUUAUGGGCGCUUUUCAGCAUGAGGGCAAACAUUCAUCUGAGUUAAUCACGGACCCUUCUAGAUUCAGCCAGUUAAUGUUUAGUGACCAGUAUGACAUACGUCAUUUUAGUUUCAUCUCUGAUGUUGCCAUAGUGCAGUGGUGCCAUGCUGGUGGUAGAGCAGCCCGUGUGAAGGAUGUUAAUGUCUUUGUGGAUGCCAUGACCACUGCACAUGCUAGACUGAUGCUGUAUGAUUUGCUAUACAAGCUACAGCAGCGCGUGUUGUAUUGUGACACGGGCAGUGUCAUUUUCACAGCACCCCCUGGCGACUGGAUGCCGCCUCUAGGACCUUUCCUCAGGGAUCUCACAGGUGAACUAGAUUCUAGAGAGGGGGGUGCGGAUUUAGUCGAUAGUCGAAUUUGUGUCCGCAGGGCCAAAAUGCUAUGCAUAUCACACCUUGCAGGUCAAGACACACAGGUUAAAUGUAAAGGUGUAAAACUCAAUGUGCUAAACUCAAAAGUUGUCACCCACGACUCCUUGAAAGGAUUAGUCCAUGUGUUUGUAGCCAAUCAGACAUCAUACGCACACCUAGUAGCUGUAUCUGAUACUAUCAGACGUGAUAAAAAGAUCUUUCAUUUGAAGAGUGAAACCAUUGUGAGGAACGUCAAAGCGGUCUACAACAAGCUCCGUGUGUUCCCAGACUAUACAACUCGCCCUUAUGGAUAUUAAAUCAGAUUAAGGGUUUGAUGGCAGACUGCAGCACCUUUUUAGCAUGGUCGUCAGUGGCCCCAGUAACUGCAGAAAGACUUUUUCUUUUUCUUUUUUUUCUUUUUUUUUGGUCAAAAAUGUUGUUGAAAAUGCUUCCAGGAUUAUUUCACAUAGUAUUGAUAGCAUUGUGUAUAUACAUAUGUAUGUAUAUACUCAUGCUGGCAGCCGCUAUAUAACCAUUUUCUUCAGAUAAGAGACAUUAACUUUGUGGUAUGCCUACCUACAGACAAGAACAAUUUGCUAAUUAUAGAUAAUUUAAUGAAUGAUGCCGCUAAUAAUGUAAAAGUACAAAAUAUGUUCAUGAAAUAUGUGCAUCAUAGGAAUUUGAGUUGUAUAUAUCUAGUUCAGAAUUUGUUUUAUUCAAGGAAAAUCCAGUAGAACCAUUUCCUUGAACACUAACUUACCUAAUUUUGUUUAACCCUAGAGAUAAAUAGAACCAAUUUACUGUCAGACCAUCCUGUUGCUUAUAUCCCAAAGCAAAAAACACUGAAGAGGUGAAAGGAUGGCAUUGCGCAUGCAGGGGAAUCGAUCUCUGUUUGCACUUUAUAUACAAGUCACCCCCUAGCCUGCGCAGACUUAUUAUUAGUAAUGCAAACAUAGAUUUCAUUAAUGCAUUGUGAGAUAGCCUUUAACGUACUGCAAGGCAGAUCAUUAGUACAAACAACCAAAAAAGGAAGAAAAAAAAAACAAUCAGACUGAUCGCUGACAAAAAGAUCAAAACUUUGAAAACCCUUUCGUAACCUGUCUGAUUGCAAACAGGUGAACAUGGAGCAUGUGCAAAAGAUGUUUUUGGUACCCCAACAUCAAUUGGACUUAUUAAAGCAACAGCAUGCAGGAACCAUCAGGAAUGGAGAGCUUAUUUUAUCAGUGCUGAACCGCUCGCCAGAUUUGAUUUCUUACAAUGACAAUGGUGAAAUUGUUGUUGAUAAACGCACCAUCCUGCAUUCUCGCAUUUAUGAUCUGAUUAAAGCAGUGACAACUACACACAACAUUUCUGAGGGUUUGAGACCUAUUGGCUGGAAAGAAUACAUGGAGCGGACUGUCGAGGCUUAGUACAUUAAAAAAAUAAAACAACUGGAUUUUUUAAUUCAGAGCCUUUUUUAUGAUUAAAAUGUUGGGGUUUUUCUUUUAUUUCAGCUAAAAGUGUUUGUUGGUUGUUUUUCACUUAUUACCGCUAAAAUAUUGAAUUUUCUUUUAUUUCAGCUAAAAUGGCUAUGAUGUGAAUGUAUAAUAUACAUUAAAAAUUGAUAAUAAAUAAUGCUGACUCGAUUAAAUCAUGCCCUCUUAUUAUGUUAUUAUUCUCAUUAGUACAUAUCAG